ACGACCUGCGCCGCGGCGUCAGAUGUCACACAUUGCCAGAGAUAAACAUGGAGGUAACAUCACAUAUAUAGCAGGUGAAUGGGAGACACUGGUCCAGUAUGAAUGUCGACAGGUGAUGUGAACUGGAGACACCUCAGCUGACCAGUCGUGCAUUGGAUACUCUGUAUUAAGUGAUACACGGUCCUUGAGUAACGCUGGAGUGGACAUCGGUGGACCUGGUUUGGGCGUAUGAGAUCCACCUCGGUGGCAUAGUGCCCAUAGCACCAGAAAUAGUAAAAGGGGAAUAUGUCUUCCCAAUAUUCACAGACAAGGUCAGAGGUCGGGACCAGGCGACAAAUGACCUGUCAACACACGUACAAGACGUCACAACAACCAACCAAUCAAAACGUCACCGAGAGGUGCCGCGCGGGCAUCAAUGCUUAAAAGGAUCAGACACGGACAGGGAUGAUUGGAGAACUUCCAAACUAGCAGAAGCAUCAGUAUUGGUACCAAAGGCGACAACAGAUACAGACAGAUCCUGUAAAUCUGAACUUGUGACUCAACCGCCAACAUCAUCAUGUGAUGACGUCAAAGGGCCAUGGAACAGACAGUGGGUGUCCAUCAACUCUUCGGACUUCCACCCGAGACCAGGCGAUGACCACUGACCCAGACCAAGCGAUGACCACUGACCCAUGGGGAGGGUUGGGCAGGACUUGAGAAAGCCUUUGGAUGGGGCUGGGAAUAGUGUGUAAGGUUGAAGUGAUGGAAUGCGUGUGAAAAUGCAUGAUGAUGAUUAUGAUGAUGAUGAUGAUGGUGAUGGUGAUGAUGACGUGUUUUCAGGCCCUACCGUGUAAGUUACAUGUAAUGUGUUCGCCAGUGCAGCCUCAUUUACCAGUGGUGCUUCAAUAUAUUCACCGUACGCACUAGAAACAAAAUCAAGAAAUUGUAUAAUAAUUAUAUUCUCAUUAAAGAGAAGUAACACGGUUAACCGGAAGUAAAACUAUAAGAUCGGAAGUGCUGAAAUAUUGCUGACAGAAUGAAGAUGCAUGAUUAUCCUACAAGAACACGACACCCCGUGACCGGAAGUGACGUCAUCAUACCGGAUAUGUAUUUAACCUGCGUAUUACACCAAGCAGAGGCGAACGGUGAUCAUGUAAACGCUGCAACUAAAACAGUAUUGCCCAUAGGUUUUCCUUAUGUUACAUAUAUUUUUGCCUACGUGGUUGGUGGUUUGAUGUAUAGCGUUCUGACGAUAGUGUUUUGGUGUGAGUACUAUCUAUUUAAAUUUGUAUUAGAGUCAUAAUAAAACAAUGCUGAGAACAUUUAAUAAAUUUAUCACAUACAUAUCUCUGUAUGAAUGAAGAGUAUAUGGAAUUGGCCGAAACGAAAUUGCAAAUGCUGAGGAACAGCUGCCUUAGAAAAUAUAACAUUUCGGAAUCCAAGAGAAAUUCUUUAAUUUGUCCCGUCUCGUAUGACAUGUCGAUGGUGUAUCUAUGUUUUUGACGAAGGAAUACAACAUUGUUUUCAUAUUA
Molecule: long non-coding RNA, 1511 nt
Organism: Haliotis rufescens (red abalone)
Lineage: Eukaryota; Metazoa; Mollusca; Gastropoda; Lepetellida; Haliotidae
Exons: 3
Source: RefSeq, a predicted model, not a curated record